UUCUGGCUCGCGCAAGACUCACCCUAGAGAACCAGGAUCGAGCAAGACACAUAUGUCAGGGCCAUGCUAUUAGAUCAAUCUAUCAAAGGUUGAUCGGAAUAAGGACUUCUCUGCCCUUCGAGUAUUCUAGAUCAGUAUCCUCAUGUACAGCUAGUGGGAAGGGGAGUCUGCACCAGAACCCCCCUUAGCCUGAGUAUCAACCUCCAAUCCAGCUGCCGCUAGGUCCAUCACAGAUAGACUCUCCCUCCUCCUGAAUGGCCUGUCUUAGUUGGACAACAACGGCCUCGUGGUCUCAGACCAGGCUUCCUCC
This 310-nucleotide long non-coding RNA is filed under the name Elaeis guineensis (African oil palm). RNAcentral describes it as "long non-coding RNA (EGUI_LNC012190)". The record is from RNAcentral. Lineage: Eukaryota; Viridiplantae; Streptophyta; Magnoliopsida; Arecales; Arecaceae.